This is a long non-coding RNA of Struthio camelus australis, 1300 nucleotides long. Lineage: Eukaryota; Metazoa; Chordata; Aves; Struthioniformes; Struthionidae. The record is from Ensembl.
GGCGGCAUACCUGACAGAAAGUUUGGAUGGCUUUUAAGUACAGCCCCAGGUGCUUCGCGUAGGGGACUCUGGUUUUUGUGUAAGAUGCCGCUGAAACCAGUUGAGAUUUGUCUCUGCGCCCUACUGCAGAAUUGAGGCUUCAGCCCUUAAUACGCUUCUUGCUGUUUUUCUUCCAUCCUAGUUGAUCUCCAGCUGGUGCUGAAUCAGGUAGGGUCAUCGAUGUUAUUACUGCAGCCCAUUCAUUUAUUAAAAUUUUUUUUUAAUACAACAUCAUUAUUGCUAAAGACAAGUCACACUGCUCAGACCACUCUCAACAGGUGAAUUGGGUUAAAAAUAGUUAAUCAACACAAGUUUUACUUACAGUGCUAGCAUCACCUAAACCCUGCCUACUCUAUCACAAAAGAUGGAGACAACAGGCAUGGGAGCUGGUACUGGAAACUUCCUUUCCAUCAGUAUUGCUCAACCUACUUUUCAGAGUAGGUCAGUAUCAUUCCUCAAGUUGUGGAAACUUAAGGGCAAAACGUUCUCUGAAAGUCCCCCAGCAGGCUAACAGCAGAUCUUGGAAAGUCACCCAGAUCUGCAAGUACUCUAUGUCUUUGCAGACUACGGUCUCUGCAAAAAGUCAGUCCUUUUCUAAUUGAUCUGUACACCAUGUUGCUGUAUGGAGAGAGGGAGGAGGAGGAGGUGGUAGCAACCCAGAGAGAGCAUUCCCUUAAAUGCAUGCAGGUAAGCUACAGAUAUAUUGUACUUACCAUAGGCGUUUGGGUGAAAUGGCACUGUCCCAGCCUGGCUCUAACAUAUGUCUUGCUAUCUGUGGCUUAGCCCCAGAGUUCUUCAGCCUGCCUGAAGCAGGAGUCCAAGCUGACAGUAAAUCUGUUCUACCUUACAUCUUGCAGGUGACAACACUAGAGCUGAAGGCCCGGGAAGGAUCCACAGAUAACUCAUCUCUGUGGAGCUGGCUACAUGACUUCACUGUUAGAGGAAAUGGGAAACCUGAAGUGGCUGAGCCAGGCACAUGGUGCAUAGUGCCAUACACGCUACAGAUAAGAAUCAGAUUUGAAAGACGCGACGCAUGUGCCUGAGUCAAGUAUGUACAUAAAUGCUUGAAGGAUCAGGGCCUAAGCCGAACACAUGGUCAAGGUAAGUCUGAAGAAUGCCUGCUCUCAUUUACACGCACUGUAACACCUCUAGUUAUCAACAUGAAAAGUUUUGAUUUUACUUAUCUGCCUUGUUCCUCAGAUGCUGCUCACUUACAAUGCAUCUGUUAUUGGUGGCAAUAAAAUCAAGCUGAAUACAUUCA